AGUGAACGCUGGCGGUAGGCCUAACACAUGCAAGUCGAACGGCAGCACAGUAAGAGCUUGCUCUUACGGGUGGCGAGUGGCGGACGGGUGAGGAAUACAUCGGAAUCUACUUUUUCGUGGGGGAUAACGUAGGGAAACUUACGCUAAUACCGCAUACGACCUACGGGUGAAAGCAGGGGAUCUUCGGACCUUGCGCGAUUGAAUGAGCCGAUGUCGGAUUAGCUAGUUGGCGGGGUAAAGGCCCACCGAGGCGACGAUCCGGAGCUGGUCUGAGAGGAUGGUCGGCAAAACGGGACCUGGACCCGGGCCCAGCCCCUGAGGGGAGGAGGCGUUGGGGAAAAUGGAACAUGGGGCGCAAGCCUGACCCAGCCAGACCGCUGGGGUGAAGAAGGCCUUCGGGUUGUAAAGCCCUUUUGUUGGGAAAGAAAAGCAGCAGGUUAAAACCCCGCUGUUCGGACGUUACCCAAAGAAUAAGCACCGGCUAACUUCGU
Molecule: ribosomal RNA, 491 nt
Filed under: uncultured bacterium
Lineage: Bacteria
Description: partial 16S ribosomal RNA
Rfam family: Bacterial small subunit ribosomal RNA
Source: RNAcentral